This 208-nucleotide unclassified non-coding RNA is filed under the name Hevea brasiliensis (rubber tree). The record is from RNAcentral. Lineage: Eukaryota; Viridiplantae; Streptophyta; Magnoliopsida; Malpighiales; Euphorbiaceae.
GAACAUUGCAUCUCUGAAGCAUAUCAAUGCGAUAUUGAGUAUGUUUUGUUGUUUUUUUACGAUUGUUUUAUAUUUGAUAGACCGAAAAUUAAAUUAAAUUGGAAGUGUCAAAGUAGGCAUCUGAUAAUGAGACUUCGAAGAUCUAGUAGUUAAUAGUUUGAGCUUAAUUAAGCUCAUAUGCUGGUGCUACUUGUUGGUUGGCGGAGGU